UACGUAGGGUGCAAGCGUUAAUCGGAAUUACUGGGCGUAAAGCGUGCGCAGGCGGUUAUGCAAGACAGAUGUGAAAUCCCCGGGCUCAACCUGGGAACUGCAUCCGAGACUGCAUUGCUAGAGUAUGGGAGAGGGAAGCGGAAUUUCUGGUGUAGCAGUGAAAUGCGUAGAUAUCUGGAGGAAUACCGGUGGCGAAGGCGGCAUCCUGGACCGAGAUUGACACUAAAGCGCGAAAGCCAGGGGAGCAAACGGG
Molecule: ribosomal RNA, 253 nt
Filed under: uncultured bacterium
Lineage: Bacteria
Description: partial 16S ribosomal RNA
Rfam family: Bacterial small subunit ribosomal RNA
Source: RNAcentral